This is a long non-coding RNA of Tupaia belangeri chinensis (Chinese tree shrew), 438 nucleotides long. RefSeq lists it as uncharacterized. The record is from RefSeq and is a predicted model, not a curated record. The transcript is spliced from 4 exons. Lineage: Eukaryota; Metazoa; Chordata; Mammalia; Scandentia; Tupaiidae.
AGAGAGACAAAUAUGAAAGAACUGCUCUACAUUUGGCCUGUGCCAGUGACCAUCCAGAAGUGGUGACUCUUUUGGUAGACAGAAAAUGCCAGCUAGAUCUUCUGGAUGGUUAUCACAAGACAGCCCUAGUAAAGGCUAUCCAGUGCCGGAAUGAAGAGUGUGUGAGCAUUCUUCUAGAGCAUGGAGCCAAUCCAAACAUUGCCGAUUACUGUGGCGAUGCUGCUCUUCAUUAUGCUGUUUAUGGUAAUAAUGUAUCAAUAGCAGAGAAACUACUUUUUCACAAUGCUCGUAUAGAAGCCAUAAACAAGGACUUGUGCAGUCACCAGAGAGAAAGACAGACAGACAGAGAGGAAUAAUGAAAAAUCGCUCUCCAGGGGAAUGAUCAAGCUGCAAUCCCUGUUCUUCCAUUUUUCCCAAAGAUUUUGAAAACACACACAC